Hypanus sabinus (Atlantic stingray) is the source of this 6238-nucleotide long non-coding RNA. RefSeq lists it as uncharacterized. The transcript is spliced from 3 exons. NCBI's taxonomy places the organism in Eukaryota, Metazoa, Chordata, Chondrichthyes, Myliobatiformes, Dasyatidae. The record is from RefSeq and is a predicted model, not a curated record.
GGGAGGGGAGGUAAUGAUCGGAGUGAGUACCUAGCUGAGAUCGGGGUAGGGGAGGUAAUGAUCGGAGUGAGUUCCUAGCUGGGAUCCGGUAGGGGAGGUAAUGAUCGGAGUGAGUUCCUAGCUGGGAUCCGGUAGGGGAGGUAAUGAUCGGAGUGAGUACCUAGCUGGGAUCGGGGUAGGGGAGGUAAUAAUCGGAUUGAGUACCUAGCUGGGAUCGGGGAGGGGAGGUAAUGAUCGGAGUGAGUACCUAGCUGGGAUCGGGGAGGGGAGGUAAUGAUCGGAGGGAGUACCUAGCUGGGAUCGGGGAGGGGAGGUAAUGAUCGGAGUGAGUACCUUGCUGGGAUCGGGGUAGGGGAGGUAAUGAUCGGAGUGAGUACCUAGCUGAGAUCGGGGUAGGGGAGGUAAUGAUCGGGGUGAGUUCCUAGCUGGGAUCCGGUAGGGGAGGUAAUGAUCGGAGUGAGUACCUAGCUGGGAUCGGGGUAGGGGAGGUAAUGAUCGGAGUGAGUACCUAGCUGGGAUCGGGGUAGGGGAGGUAAUGAUCAGAGUGAGUACCUAGCUGGGAUCGGGGUAGGGGAGGUAAUGAUCGGAGUGAGUACCUAGCUGGGAUCGGGGAGGGGAGGUAAUGAUCGGAGUGAGUACCUAGCUGGGAUCGGGGAGGGGAGGUAAUGAUCGGAGUGAGUACCUAGCUGGGAUCGGGGUAGGGGAGGUAAUGAUCGGAGUGAGUACCUAGCUGGGAUCGGGGUAGGGGAGGUAAUGAUCGGAGUGAGUACCUCGCUGGGAUCAGGGUAGGGGAGGUAAUGAUUGGAGUGAGUACCUAGCUGGGAUCGGGGAUGAGAGGUAAUGAUCGGAGUGAGUACCUAGCUGGGAUCGGGGUAGGGGAGGUAAUGAUCGGAGUGAGUACCUAGCUGGGAUCGGGGAUGAGAGGUAAUGAUCGGAGUGAGUACCUAGCUGGGAUCGGGGUAGGGGAGGUAAUGAUCGGAGUGAGUACCUCACUGGGAUCAGGGUAGGGGAGGUAACGAUUGGAGUGAGUACCUAGCUGGGAUCGGGGAUGAGAGGUAAUGAUCGGAGUGAGUACCUAGCUGGGAUCGGGGUAGGGGAGGUAAUGAUCGGAGUGAGUACCUAGCUGGGAUCGGGGAGGGGUGGUAAUGAUCGGAGUGAGUACCUAGCUGGGAUCGGGGUAGGGGAGGUAAUGAUCAGAGUGAGUACCUAGCUGGGAUCGGGGUAGGGGAGGUAAUGAUCGGAGUGAGUACCUCGCUGGGAUCAGGGUAGUCGGAGGUAAUGAUUGGAGUGAGUACCUAGCUGGGAUCGGGGAGGGGAGGUAAUGAUCGGAGUGAGUACCUAGCUGGGAUCGGGGAGGGGAGGUAAUGAUAGGAGUGAGUACCUAGCUGGGAUCGGGGAGGGGAGGUAAUGAUCGGAGUGAGUACCUAGCUGGGAUCGGGGAGGGGAGGUAAUGAUCGGAGUGAGUAGCUAGCUGGGAUCGGGGAGGGGAGCUGGAGGUGUCAGGGCAUUGGAGAUGUGGUUACCGCGGCUUAGGAGGGGCGGAGUGCGAUUUUGUCGAGAUUUGGGCUCAGGACGGUCGGUAGGGAGUGUACCGAGCGAGGGUUCAGGAUCGAUCGGAGAGGGGGAGGGUUCGGUGCAGGGUCACUAGCGAUUGUGGAGUGGGAGGGGCCGAUAGAGGGACCUAGGAGGUAUCGGGGAUGGCUGGGAAUCUGUGUUUGGCCUGGGAGCGACCUGGGGCGGGGGCUAUAGUGAUGGGGGGGGGGAGAAUCCAGGAAGGAUCAGGGAGGGUGAGGAAUCAAUGAAGUGACUCAAGGGGUGUCGGAGCAGGGAACCCAGGCGAUCCGUGGUGCGGAAGGGAAAGAGUGAGAAGGCGGGAGCGGUAGUGCCUGGGGACUGAACAGUCAUGGCAAUAGACAGGAGUUUGUCUGGACACCCGAAUGGUAUGUUGGCUCCGUGGUGCCAGGGUCAGGGACCGUCCACCGUAUUUUGGAGAGGUGCGUAGAGCCGCCAAAUGUCUUGGUACAAUAUUGGUACCAAUGACAUACGAAGGAAAAGCAAAAGACGAUCGGAAUAGAGAAUUUAGAGAGCAAGGCAGGAAGCUGAGAAGCAGGACGUCCCGGGUAGUGAUUUCUGAAUCGCUGCCUGGGCCACACACCUGUGAGAAUAGAAGCAGGAUGAUUUCAAAGGUUUCAGAGGCACAUUGAACGUCAGAGGAGUUUAUACAAUAUACAUCCUGAAAUUCUUUUUCUUCACAACCAUCCACGAACGGACCGUGAGACAAUAGGGUAUAGAAGCAGAAGUAUGCCAUUCGGCCCAUCGAGUCUGCUUCGCCAUUCAAUCGUGGACUGAUCCAAUUCUUCCAGUCAUCUCCACUCCUCUGAUUUCACCCCUACCCUUUGAUGCCCCGGCUAAUCAAGAACCUAUCCAUCUCUGCCUUAAAUACACCCAAUGACUUGACCUCCACAGCUGCUCGUGACAACAAAUUCCACAGAUUUACCACCCUCUGACCAAAGUAAUUUCUCCACAUCUCAGUUCUAAAUAGACGUCCUUGAAGUCGUGCCCUCUUGUCCUAGAAUUCCCUACCAUGGGAAAUAAUUGAGAUCCCCCCUCAUUCUCCUGAACUCCAGGGAACACAGCCCAAGAGCUGCCAGAUGUUCCUCAUACAGUAACCCUUUCAUUUCUGCAGCCCUUCUCAUGAAUCUUCUCUGAACCCUCUCCAAAAACAGAGGGGCGCUCGAAGAAUGAAUGGCAGCUAAAUGCUAGUACGCCUCCCUCCCGUGCAUAAGCGGCAGUGACCACAAUUCCCCCCUCCUCCCACCGACAAAAAAAAGCAUCGACACCCAUCACCAAGCACUCGAGAAUGCAGCAAAGACACAGACUUGCAGGACUGCAAAGGCUUCUUUGUUCACCAAGCAUUCGCCACACCGCCGGCUCUCUCUCCCUAAUCAGAGAGCAUAGAAAAUCUACAGCCCUUUGGCCCACUAUACUGUUCUGUCCUUACUUUAGAAAUUACCGGUACAUUGGGUUACCCAUGGCCGUCUAUCUUCCCAAGCUCCAUGUACCUAUCCAGGUGUCUCUCAAAAGACCCUAUCGUAUCGUCCUCCACAACUGUUGCCGGCAGCCCAUUCCACACACUCACCACUCUCUGUGUAAAAAACUUACCCCUGAUAUCUCCUCAGUACCUUCUCCCCAGCACCUUCAACCUGUGUCCUCUUGUGGCAACCAUUUCAGCCCUGGGAAAAAGCCUCUGACUAUCCACAUGAUCAAUGCCUCUCAUCAUCUUAUACACCUCUAUCAGGUCAUCUCUCAUCCUCUAUCACUCCAAGGAGAAAAGCUGAGUUCACUCAAAUUAUUCUUGUAAAGCAUGCUCCUCAAUCCAGGCAACAUAAUUGUAAAUCUCCUCUGCACCCUUUCUAUGGUUUCCACAUCCUUCCUGGAUGAGGCGACCAGAACUGAGCACAGUACUUCAAGUGGGGUCUGACCAGGAUCCUAUAUAGUUGCAACUUUACCUCUUGGCUCUCGAAAUCAAACCCGCAGUUGAUGAAGGCCAAUGUACAGUAUGACUUCUUAACCACAGAGUCAACCUGCACAGCAGCUUUGAGCGUCCUAUAGACUCCCUCUGAUCCCUCUGAUCCUCCACACUGCUGGGAGUCUUACCAUUAAUACUAUAUUCUGCCAUCAUAUUUGACCUAUCAAAAUGAACCACCGCUCACUUACCUGGGUUGAACUCCAUCUGCCACUUCUCAGCCCAGUUUUGCGUCCUAUCGAUGUCCUGCUGUAAUCUCUGACAGCCCUCCACACUAUCCACAACACCCCCAACCUUUGUGUCAUUAGCAGAUUUACUAACCCAUCCCUCCACUUGCAUUUCUAAAAAUUACAAAUAGUAGGGGUCACAGAACAGAUCCCUGAGGCACACCACUGGUCACCGACCUCCAUGCAGAAUAUGACUCGUCUACAACCACUCUUUGCCUUCAGUGGGCAAGCCAAUUCUGGAGCCACAAAUUAAGAUCCCCUUGGAUCCCAUGCCUCCUUACUUUCUCAAUAAGCCUUGCAUGGGGUACCUCAUCAAAUUCCUUGCUGAAAUCCAUAUACACUACAUCAAUGGCUCUGCCUUCAUCAAUGUGUUUAGUCACAUCCUCAAAAAAAAAACAGCCUCUUCUAGCUGCAGUUCCAGUUCCUUAAUACGUUCUCUCAGGAGCUGCAACUCAGUGCUUCUGGUAUAGAUGUGUUUAUAUGGGGGACCGGGUACAUCCCAGAUGUCCCACAUCCCACGCAAAGUAUACAACACUGGCCCUGGAGCCAUUCUCACUAAUUUACAAGGCACUAACUGAUGAGGAAUGAACAAAUAUGGACAGAGAGGGAGUAACGUACGGACAAGGUACCUGACCCAAACCUGAUCUCACACUCGAAAUGAACGAAUGCUGCAGCUGCAGAUGCGCUGUUUUUAUCGACCCUUUCUGAUAAAUCCCCCUGGCUGCUUGCUGCUUCCUGAAUUCAGAAAAACUGCCACAAAACUGCCCUCAACAUCACUGUCGCUGCUCUGAUUAGAAGGUAUCUCUUUUCAUGCACACCAGGUGUGGUUUGUCCAACUCAGAGAAAUCAGGCUGAAACAUCAAACACGAAUAAAAGGUGAUAUCCACGGAUUUGCUGAUCCAGUUAACCAGGUAGCUGGUAGGAUUUGGAGGCAUUAGCAAUGGAUCUCUAAAGAAAUAGUAAAGAAUCUCUUAUUAAAGAGGGAGGUGGAAAAGGGGGAUUAUAGGCCGUAAGCCUAAUCUCAGAGGUUGGGAUGAUGUUGGAGAUGAUUGUCCUUUAUCUGGUUUUGGGGUAUUUGGAGGCAGAUGACAAAGUAGUCCAAAUUGAACAUAAUUUUCUUAAGGAAGACAAAUCUGACAAAUCUGUUAAGAGUUCUUUGAAACAAUAAGAAGAAUAAACAAAGGAGAUGUUCAAAGUGGAUGUUGCGUACAUGGAUUUUCUGGCCUUUGACAAUAUGCCAGACGAGAGUGCUGAACUAGUUAAAAGCCCAUGGAAUUAUAGGUAUAGAGCUGUGGCUGAUUGGCUUGAGGAAAGGAUUGGGAAUAAAAGAAACCUUUUCGGAUUGGCUGCCAGCGAACAGUGGUGUUCCACAGGGAUCUGUGUUGGGAAUGCAUCUUUCUAAUGUUAUACAUCGACGAUUUAGAUGAUGGAAUCGAUAGAUCCUUGCAUGGGGUAUCUUAUCAAAUGCUGUGCAAGGUAGAUGAAUAUGUGAAUUCUCUGCUGUGGAAGUCAGGUCGCAGUGGUGUGCAUUUAAGUUGGAGGUUGAUAGGUUCUUGAUCAAUGAGGGUGUGAAAGGUUAUGAGGAGAAGGUAGGGGAAUGGGGUUGUAAAGGAAAUGGAUCAUCCAUGAUAUAAUGGCAGAGCACACUUGAUGGGCUGAAUUGCCCAAUUUUGCACCUAUGUCUUGUGGUUAUUCUGUUGUUACUGGUAUGGGGGAAGACGAGCAUAUUUUAUGUCAAUAGUUAUGAACGUUCUCACUGCCAGUACGUUUUCAGUUGAUAACCAUUUUCAACGCCAAUUCUGGUAUUUGGAUGUCUUUAGUUGUGUGAGUGUGUUCUUUUUUCUCACAGAUCCAGCUUGCUUCGUGAUUGUGUGACACCCUGUUUGACCAGAUAUUAGACCAUAAGUUCAUUAUCUCUGUACAUGUUGUUAACUGUGUGCCGGGGAAGAGGGUGGGGUGGAUGUCCAUUUUGCUGAGUCGAAUUUAGUUUCAAUGUCCUGUAUAAAACUUUCUCUUUGUUUCUGAACUGAUAAUUCUGUGCGUUGGUCAGGCACAGUUCAUGCAUCUAUCCGGUUUUGCUUUGUGUGUGUAACAUACUGUAGGUUUCACUGCUAAUAUAAUGGCUUCUCUGUAGCAGCAAUGUUAGGGUUCUGACUAGAGAUAACUGGGGCUAUGGAAUGUGUGCCAUCCAAUGAGAGACCUGUUGUUUCUUUCUUGUGAGUCUGAGAGGAGGUAUUCGUGGUCUUUUGUCGAUGAGAGAUGAAGAGAGAUUUGAAUGGAGAGACCGCCAGAUGGAGUGGACUUGGAGUGAGGGUCCGAGUGUCGGUGAUGCUUGGAGGAGGUCAACGGGGAAUGAUUGGACUAAACCGUGAGCUCCAACGUGUGUAUUAGACUGUUUCAUGAGAAUGGGCCCUUUUCAUUUUUGUGUUUCUUUACUAACCACAUCGUCAAAUUAAGAAUUAAAGAGCUCAGUCAUUUGAUCGCA